RNAcentral lists this non-coding RNA (160 nucleotides) under uncultured Anaerosporomusa sp. Lineage: Bacteria; Bacillati; Bacillota; Negativicutes; Acetonemataceae. The record is from RNAcentral.
GGCAAGGGUGCCUCGCAAUGAGGAGAAUAGGGAAGUCUGAGCAUGGCGACAUGCGUAGGCGCGGGCCCACCACUGUACCGGGAAGAGCUUGCAAUGCCACUCGCAAGGGGAAGGCGCAGGAUAUUGAUGAACCGGGAGCCAGGAGACCUGCCCUGCCGUC